Molecule: long non-coding RNA, 3374 nt
Filed under: Sus scrofa (pig)
Lineage: Eukaryota; Metazoa; Chordata; Mammalia; Artiodactyla; Suidae
Description: lncRNA (ENSSSCG00045028329.1)
Source: RNAcentral
GACACUGGGACGAGGAAACUGAGCUCCGGGCACAGCUCAGCCCGUGGGAAUUGCCCAACUGGGCUGUCGCAAUGGGCUAGGAGGCCAGGGUCGGCCCUGCCGCUGGCUGCCAGGACCAGGCCUCCUGGCCACCCUAAGCGCCUAGAAUCUGGGGACAAUAGCGGCCAAGCAGUUAACAUCUGCUCUGCGAUGGCGGUAAAAAGGAAAGCAAAAUUUCGAUCUAUUUUUCUGGGAAGAGAGUAAGAGAUUUGGGCUGUCCCGGCAGGACCCGAGCUUUGCAACACACCGGUGUUCCUUUAAGUCCAAAAGAGGGCCGAGAAACCAGCUGGCCCACAGUUCACAGAACAUCCCAGCAGGAACCCGUACCCCUGUGGAGACUGCUGAGAAACUGGAGCCUAUCCAGGCCACGGCCACGGCCGGGGAUCAGCCCCAACCUACGGAGCCCAUUAACAGUCGCUACCUGGUAAUUUCUAAAGCACCCGCUGGGUGGGUGCGUGGUCCACGGGGGGCCACAAAAGCCAAGGACACAAGUUCACUGCCUGCAAGGAGCUUGCCCGUGGGAGAUAAAGCUGGUAACGGGCUCGACACCCAGGCAGCCCUUCCGGGAGGCGGAGAUGGGCUCCAGAAAUGAACAGGAUUCAGAGGCUGCAUCCAAGGACGGAGAGACCAAAGUCCUGGUUGCACCAUUUGGCAGCGUGUCGCCUGACCUCCAGGAGCCUGGGUGUCUUUGUCUUUUAAAUGGGAUUCACAGAGACCCUACCUCUUAGGGUUAGCGUGAGGGCAGAGGGAAAUAAGGUAUAUACAGAGAUUGCCGGCCAGCAGCCAGUGCUUCAGACACACUAUCGAGAAGGAGCUUCAGGGGAGUUCCCGUGGUGGCUCAGCAAUAAUGAACUUGGCUAAUAUCCCUAAGGACGAGCGUUCAAUCCUUGGCCUUGCUCAGGGGGUUAAAGAUCUGGUGUUGCUGUGAGUUGUGGUGUGGGUCACAGACAUGGCUUGGAUCCUGUGUUGCUGUAGNAGAAAAAAAAAAAAAAAAAAAAGGAAAUUCAGGAAAACAACAUGAAUGAACCUCAAAGACAUGACCCCAGUUGAAAGAGGGCAGGUGUGCAAAGUGGCACACGGAAUGGUUCUUUUCCUAGGAAGUGGCCAGAGCGUUAAGUAAAUCCCUAGAGAUGAGAAGCAGAUUAGUGGUUGCCAAGGGCCGGGGGAGGGGAAAGGGGUGUCUUUUUGGGGUGAUGACAAUAUGUUGGAACUAGAUAGGGGGUGAUUGCAUGGGAAUAGGUGAAAGGUCACGGGACAGUGCAUUUUAAAACGGUGCAUUUCGGAAUUCCCUGGUGGCCUAGCGAUUAAAAGAGGCAGAGUCCUUCAAUCCCCAGCCUGAGGUCGAGGCCAAAAACAUUAAAAUGAAAUCAAAUGGUUCAUUUUUUGGUAUGUGAAUGUCACCUCAAUUAAAAAAAUGUCUUGAAGGAAAUUUGUUUGCACAAACCUAGUGAAUGGGACACUCGCCAGGGCCAGACCCCAGACACUCUGCCUCCUGUCACCCUCCAGCCUGGGCUGAGUGAGCUGGGUCACCCUCUGUCCAGGCCUGGACACCCUCAGCCUGGCCGGUGGGGCCUAGCGGAGCCCAGACAUGGGGGCAGGGUGGGGGGCUGCCCCACACAGUUCGGGGAGAGGCCAGUGUCCCCAGGCUGCUGGGAGGACCAAGUUACAUCAGAGGUCGUGUGCGAGAUGCGUUACAAAGAGAGAGGGAUGAGCUCCAGGUGCACUGGCUGCACCUGCCAUGGAGCACCUGCCGUGGCGGGACGAGGGGAGCACGAGGGGAUGUGCGCAGCCAGGGAGCCCACAGGGGUCAAGGCAGAGUCCCCGCCUGGCCCAGACCCGGGGACAGUCAGCUCCUCUGCCCACCCCCACCCCCCUCCCUCUCCUGGCCUCCCUGGCUCCCCCUCAGAGUCCCAUCCUAAUCCUGCCAGGAGAGGGAGCCCAGGGCAGUGGGUCUCCGUCCUGUGUCCCCCCUGCAGGCAGCCAGGCCAGAGAGAGAGCUGUCCAGCCCGCAGCCACGGAGGAGGCGCCCGCCACCCAGCUGACAUGGGGGCGGGUCUCAGGCUUUCCCCACUGGGCCACCACUGCCAGGGCAGCCUCCUGGGCUUUGGGCCACCAGGCGGAAAGGAUAAAAAGAGGCCACAUGCCUCCUGCCACGUGGAGGCAUCCACGCACCAGGGGCAACACUGUCACACAGAACUCGGGUGCCAGAGGACCACGUGGGCAUUCAGCAGGGCGAGUUGGCAGGACCGACACCACUGCCUGUUGGGAUCCCAGGACUCGGGGAGGCCAUGCUGCCGAGGGUGCCCUAGCCGGCCCGGCCCAGGCUGGGAGCCACCAGUAUGAGACGCCACUUGACUGGCAAGAAACUCACCUUCCGAGGAACCUGCCAGUCUUCAAACUCAUAAAUGCCCUCCAGAGUUAGUGACCCCUGAACUACGGGCAGAUGUUAAGUGCCCAUAACCCUUUCCGGCUGGUGAUAACCCCGCGGCACUCUUGGCUUUUCUUGCGAUGGGUUUGCUGUUUUCUCCAAGGAGUGGGUUUCAUCAGAUCCGGGUGCCCAAGACCGUGGCAAGGACCCAGCCACGGAAGGAGGGGCUGGACGGCGGCUCACAGUCCCCUUGUGCAGCUCCAGCGCGGGGCAAAAUCCCGCACAGGCCUGCGGUGAGGCCUCGCAAACAAGCAGCAGCAUGAUCCUGCCGGCCAGCUCAGCCCCCAGCCUUGGCCCAGAGCGGCUCUGGCCGCCCCGCCUCUGGCUCCCCUCCUGCAGCCCAUGCCGACCGCCCGCCACCAGAGGCCUUGCCAGCCGCCGAGGCAGCCCCUUGCGUCCCGUCCCCAGAGCCCUCAGCAGCCCUGAAGUCAUUCUGCUCCAGGAUCUGCUCCGUGUUUAUGUCCUGCCUCGGUCUCCGGGGGGCCUGACGUGCUCCCUGCAGCUUGUCCCCAGCACCCAGCCCCCGCGGGAACAAGGACCCGAGACGGAAACGGCAAAAGCGCUGUGAGCAAGACACCUGCCCGCGGAUCCCAGCCCCGCUGCCAGCUAUCUUUCUCCAUCGCUUGGCCGGCCCGAGGAUCUCAAGAAUGGAAAGGGGUUUAGGGGGUCUGGAGACCACCCCACCACCCAAGAAAGGAGCCCGAGGUUAACUCCCACGUUCUCAGGAGAGCCGCCGACGUGUUGAUGCAAGCGCCAAAUAAUCGAAUUGCAGGUGGGGGUGGGGAGGAGAUAAUUGAAUAUCAGCGAGGGGCUGUUGUCAGGUCAGCCAGUUCCUGGCGUGUUCUCGUAUGUAUGUUUUCUGAGAGAGCCCCCAAAUAAAACAGUUCUAUUAUUUUAUGCCACAAAA